AUUGAACGCUGGCGGCAGGCCUAACACAUGCAAGUCGAGCGAGCGGCGGACGGGUGAGUAAUGUAUGGGGACUGCCCGAUAGAGGGGGAUAACUACAGGAAACGGUGGCUAAUACCGAAUACUAUCGGAUAACCCAUAGGGGAUUGGCUAGUUGGUGGGGUAAAGGCUCACCUAGGCGACGAUCUCUAGCUGGUCUGAGAGGAUGAUCAGCCACACUGGGACUGAGACACGGCCCAGACUCAUACGGAGGCAGCAGUGGGGAAUAUUGCACAAGGGGCGCAAGCCUGAUGCAGCCAUGCCGCGUGAAGGAAGACGGUCUUCGGAUUGUAAACUGCUUUAGACAGGGACGCGGUACCUGUAGAAUAAGCCACGGCUAACUACGUGCCAGCAGCCGCGGUAAUAC
RNAcentral lists this ribosomal RNA (403 nucleotides) under uncultured bacterium. RNAcentral describes it as "partial 16S ribosomal RNA". It matches the Rfam family "Bacterial small subunit ribosomal RNA", at positions 30 to 526 of the family's 1533-position model. The record is from RNAcentral.